This is a small nuclear RNA of Bombyx mandarina (wild silkworm), 156 nucleotides long. NCBI's taxonomy places the organism in Eukaryota, Metazoa, Arthropoda, Insecta, Lepidoptera, Bombycidae. The record is from RefSeq and is a predicted model, not a curated record.
AUACUUACCUGGCGUAGGGGAUACCGUGAUCAUGCAGGCGGUUCCCCCAGGGUGAGGCUGCUCCGUUGCAAAGCGGAGUGUUGACCCCUGCGAUUAUUUUUAAAUUUUGUUAAUAAAUAAAUAAUAAUACAAAAUGUCUACCCGAACAAUUAUUUU